UCAAACCGUGCCUGCCUUCUCCACCCACUUCUGCAACAAACUCCCAGAGCUGCGAUCGUUGAUGACCUAGAAACUCCCUGAGACUUACUGUAUACGCAAAAGUGCAUGCAACUGCACUAGCACCGGAAGAUUACUUCGAAGCCACUUGAAGCUGAAAACCAAGGAAAACGUUCUAAGGUGGCUGCUAUUGGACGGUAACGGAGGCAGGUGGAGGACCAUUGGUCAAAUACCAGGGGGAAGGAGUCCUUGGAAAAGAAGCCAGACAUGAAUCAUGCAAAUGUUUCUUUCAUCAAAUUGCCACCGAAGAGAGCAGGGGAGUCCCAGGCACAGGACAGCUUGGAGGCUCAGAAAGGCUGGCAUCAGGCCCAAUGUCCACAACUAACUCUAUGUAUCUCAUCUCUGGAGUUGUCUGGUACUGCACAACUGAUUUCUGGAUGACCAUGGGUAUUGAGGUGUAGCUUCACUACAGAAUCAAACUGCAGCCCUUUGGAGGUAACUCAAAACAAAAGGUUUCAACUCUAGACCAACCUUGGCAUUUAUACUUCUGUAAAACUCUUUGACAUUUCGUGGGGGUACUUUUAACCUUCAA
Molecule: long non-coding RNA, 589 nt
Filed under: Salmo salar (Atlantic salmon)
Lineage: Eukaryota; Metazoa; Chordata; Actinopteri; Salmoniformes; Salmonidae
Description: lncRNA (ENSSSAG00000110438.1)
Source: RNAcentral